Molecule: ribosomal RNA, 468 nt
Filed under: uncultured bacterium
Lineage: Bacteria
Description: partial 16S ribosomal RNA
Rfam family: Bacterial small subunit ribosomal RNA
Source: RNAcentral
GAUGAACGCUGGCGGCGUGCCUAACACAUGCAAGUCGAGCGAUUUACUUCGGUAAAGAGCGGCGGACGGGUGAGUAACGCGUGGGUAACCUGCCCUGUACACACGGAUAACAUACCGAAAGGUAUGCUAAUACGAGAUAAUAUACUUUUAUCGCAUGGUAGAAGUAUCAAAGCUUUUGCGGUACAGGAUGGACCCGCGUCUGAUUAGCUAGUUGGUAAGGUAACGGCUUACCAAGGCGACGAUCAGUAGCCGACCUGAAAGGGUGAUCGGCCACAUUGGAACUGAGACACGGUCCAAACUCCUACGGGAGGCAGCAGUGGGGAAUAUUGCACAAUGGGCGAAAGCCUGAUGCAGCAACGCCGCGUGAGCGAUGAAGGCCUUCGGGUCGUAAAGCUCUGUCCUCAAGGAAGAUAAUGACGGUACUUGAGGAGGAAGCCCCGGCUAACUACGUGCCAGCAGCCGCCGUAA